GACGAACGCUGGCGGCGUGCCUAACACAUGCAAGUCGAACGGACAGGCCAUGAUUUUGUGGGGUGCUCGUGUGCCGCACGCGUGAGUAAAACACGUGUAACACCCACUUGAAUUUCGGGUAUCUUUCGGAAAAAGCGGAUCAUACAGGAUAUGAGAUCCUGCAGCAUGGUGGGGGUUGGAAAGUUUCGGCGGUUUGGGAUGGUGUCGCGGCUUCUCAGCUUGUAGGUGGGGUAGUGGCUUACCAAGGAUUUGACGGGUAGCCGGCCUGAGAGGGAGACCGGCCACAAGGGGACUGAGAGAGGGACCAGACUGAUACGUGCGGCAGCGGGGGGGAAUAUGGCACAAGAGGCGGACGCCAGAUGCAGCGACGCCGGGUGCGUGAGGACGGCUUUCGGGGUGGAAACCGCUUUCGCCGGUGACGAAGCGUGAGUGACGGUAACGAAUAAAAAAGCACCGGCUAACUACGUG
This 468-nucleotide ribosomal RNA is filed under the name uncultured bacterium. RNAcentral describes it as "partial 16S ribosomal RNA". It matches the Rfam family "Bacterial small subunit ribosomal RNA", at positions 28 to 507 of the family's 1533-position model. The record is from RNAcentral.